UUUAAAGAGAGUUUGAUCCUGGCUCAGGACGAACGCUGGCGGCGUGCCUAAUACAUGCAAGUCGAACGAACGGAGGAAGAGCUUGCUCUUCCAAAGUUAGUGGCGGACGGGUGAGUAACACGUGGGCAACCUGCCUGUAAGUUGGGGAUAACUCCGGGAAACCGGGGCUAAUACCGAAUGAUAAAGUGUGGCGCAUGCCACGCUUUUGAAAGAUGGUUUCGGCUAUCGCUUACAGAUGGGCCCGCGGUGCAUUAGCUAGUUGGUAGGGUAAUGGCCUACCAAGGCAACGAUGCAUAGCCGACCUGAGAGGGUG
This 313-nucleotide ribosomal RNA is filed under the name Listeria monocytogenes. Its description in RNAcentral is "bacterial SSU rRNA". It matches the Rfam family "Bacterial small subunit ribosomal RNA", at positions 1 to 302 of the family's 1533-position model. The record is from RNAcentral. Lineage: Bacteria; Bacillati; Bacillota; Bacilli; Caryophanales; Listeriaceae.